AUUACAGGCGUGAGCCACUGUGCCCGGGCAAUUGAUCAUUUUAAUUACCUCCCAUCUACUCUGCUGUAUUUUCUAUAUUGAGCAUGUACUCCCAUAAUCGGAUGUCUGCACUAAGUUCAGCAUCAGUGUGGUGUCCUCCCGGGAAUGGGUCACCACUAGGUUGCCUAAGGAGGGAUGAACUGGCCCAGGUCAGAAACAGAGCAGGUCAAAACUCAAGUGCUGAUCAGUAGUGGGAUCACACCUGUGAAUAGCCACUGCACUCCAGCCUGGGCAACGUAGCAAGACC
Molecule: signal recognition particle RNA, 286 nt
Filed under: Nomascus leucogenys (northern white-cheeked gibbon)
Lineage: Eukaryota; Metazoa; Chordata; Mammalia; Primates; Hylobatidae
Description: Metazoan signal recognition particle RNA (ENSNLEG00000035758.1)
Rfam family: Metazoan signal recognition particle RNA (bases 97-245)
About the family: The signal recognition particle (SRP) is a universally conserved ribonucleoprotein. It is involved in the co-translational targeting of proteins to membranes.
Source: RNAcentral